Molecule: long non-coding RNA, 1082 nt
Organism: Oncorhynchus tshawytscha (Chinook salmon)
Lineage: Eukaryota; Metazoa; Chordata; Actinopteri; Salmoniformes; Salmonidae
Source: Ensembl
GCCGCUGUGGUUGUAGUUGGAGCCGCUGUGGUUGUUGUGGGAGACGCUGUGGUUGUUGUGGGAGCCGCUGUGGUUGUUGUGGGAGACGCAGUGGUUGUUGUGGGAGCCGCUGUGGUUGUUGUGGGAGCCGCUGUGGUUGUAGUUGAAGCCGCUUUAGUUGUUGUGGGAGACGCAGUGGUUGUUGUGGGAGCCGCUGUGGUUGUUGUGGGAGCCGCAGUGGUUGUAGUGGGAGCCGCUGUGGUUGUAGUGGGAGCAGCUGUGGUUGUAGUGGGAGCCGCUGUGGUUGUAGUGGUAUCCGCUGUGGUUGUAGUGGGAGCCGCUGUGGUUGUAGAGGGAGCCGCAGUGGUUGUAGUGGGAACUGCUGUGGUUGUAGUGGGAGGUGCUGUGGCUGUAGAGGGAGCUGCAGUGGUUGUAGUGGGAGCCGCUGUGGUUGUAGUGGGAGCCGCUGUGGUUGUAGUGGGGGCCGCUGUGGUUGUAGUGGGAGCCGCUGUGGUUGUAGUGGGAGCCGCUGUGGUUGUUGUGGGAGACUCAGUGGUUGUUGUGGGAGCUGCUGUGGUUGUUGUGGGAGUCGCUGUUGUUGUUGUGGGAGCCGCUGUAGUUGUUGUGGGAGCCGCUGUGGUUGUAGUGGGAGCCGCUGUGGUUGUAGUGGGAGCCGCUGUGGUUGUAGUGGGAGCCUUUGUAGUUGUUUUGGGAGCCGCUGUGGUUGUAGUGGGAGCCGCUGUGGUUGUAGUGGGAGCAGCUGUGCUUGUAGUGGGAGAUGCUGUGGAUGUAGUGGGAGCCGCUGUGGUUGUAGUGGGAGCCGCUGUGGUUGUAGUGGGAGCCGCUGUGGUUGUUGUGGGAGACGCAGUGGUUGUUGUAGGAGCAGCUGUGGUUGUAGUGGGGGUGCUGUGGUUGUAGUGGGAGCAGCUGUGGUUGUAGUGGGAGCCGCUGUGGUUGUAGUGGGAGCCGCUGUAGUGGGAGCCGUAGUGGGAGCCGCUGUGGUUGUAGUGGGAGCCGCUGUGGUUGUAGUGGGAGCCGCUGUGGUUGUAGUGGAAGCCGCUGUGGUUGUAGUGGGAGCCGCUGUGGUUGUAGUGGGAGCCGCU